This 520-nucleotide ribosomal RNA is filed under the name uncultured Entrophospora. RNAcentral's name for it is "SSU rRNA". It matches the Rfam family "Eukaryotic small subunit ribosomal RNA", at positions 569 to 1085 of the family's 1831-position model. Lineage: Eukaryota; Fungi; Glomeromycota; Glomeromycetes; Entrophosporales; Entrophosporaceae. The record is from RNAcentral.
AGCAGCCGCGGUAAUUCCAGCUCCAAUAGCGUAUAUUAAAGUUGUUGCAGUUAAAAAGCUCGUAGUUGAAUUUCGGGAUUGACACAUCGGUCGUGCCUUAAGGGGUAUGAACUGGUGUAGUCAAUUUCUCACCUUCUGGAGAACCGCGAUGCCCUUAAUUGGGUAUCGCGGGGAACCAGGACCUUUACUUUGAAAAAAUUAGAGUGUUUAAAGCAGGCAUUUUGCUUGAAUACAUUAGCAUGGAAUAAUAAAAUAGGACGGCAUGAUUCUAUUUUGUUGGUUUCUAGGAUCACCGUAAUGAUUAAUAGGGAUAGUUGGGGGCAUUAGUAUUCAAUUGUCAGAGGUGAAAUUCUUGGAUUUAUUGAAGACUAACUACUGCGAAAGCAUUUGCCAAGGAUGUUUUCAUUAAUCAAGAACGAAAGUUAGGGGAUCGAAGACGAUCAGAUACCGUCGUAGUCUUAACCAUAAACUAUGCCGACUAGGAAUCAGACGAUGUAAUUUUUUAAUGACUCGUUUGGCA